GGCGGCGUAGCUCAGAGGUAGAGCAGGCGUCUCAUAAGCGCCCCGUCGGCGGUUCAAUUCCGCCCGCCGCCA
RNAcentral lists this transfer RNA (72 nucleotides) under Candidatus Hydrogenedentes bacterium CG1_02_42_14. RNAcentral's name for it is "tRNA-Met". It matches the Rfam family "tRNA". Rfam says of the family: Transfer RNA (tRNA) molecules are approximately 80 nucleotides in length. RNAcentral also lists the same sequence under 2 other names. The record is from RNAcentral. Lineage: Bacteria; Pseudomonadati; Candidatus Hydrogenedentota.